AUGGUGCCACAUCAACAUAUCAGUUCCGAUAGCUCACGGAGAUACCGGUGCAAAAGGAGGCGUGCGGAUGUGCGCAACAUGCUAGAGAUGGUGGGGUGCUCCCGAAUUCCGGGUUCCCACGGGACGGUGGCAUGGCAAAAGAGGGGCAUCGCAAGGACGAUUCGAUCACGGUGCAAAACUCGAGCAUCUCAUACACACAUGCAUUCGAUCACGGUCGGUCAUCUCGGUGGUUAUACCUUUGAAGCGUGCGUUUCGGAGCGGGUCGAGUUUGACGAAGGAAGUAGUCAUUCACGGGUCGUAGGGGAAGUAGUCGUUCUCGCGGCGGCGGUAGUGGAAGUAGUUGUACACGUUUCGUAG
RNAcentral lists this ribosomal RNA (357 nucleotides) under Triticum aestivum (bread wheat). RNAcentral's name for it is "partial small subunit ribosomal RNA". Lineage: Eukaryota; Viridiplantae; Streptophyta; Magnoliopsida; Poales; Poaceae. The record is from RNAcentral.